Molecule: ribosomal RNA, 628 nt
Filed under: uncultured bacterium
Lineage: Bacteria
Description: bacterial SSU rRNA
Rfam family: Bacterial small subunit ribosomal RNA (bases 1-540)
Source: RNAcentral
CCUACGGGAGCAGCAGUGGGGAAUUUUGGACAAUGGGCGAAAGCCUGAUCCAGCAAUGCCGCGUGCAGGAUGAAGGCCUUCGGGUUGUAAACUGCUUUUGUACGGAACGAAACGGCGAGCUCUAAUACAGUUUGCUAAUGACGGUACCGUAAGAAUAAGCACCGGCUAACUACGUGCCAGCAGCCGCGGUAAUACGUAGGGUGCGAGCGUUAAUCGGAAUUACUGGGCGUAAAGCGUGCGCAGGCGGUUCUAUAAGACAGAUGUGAAAUCCCCGGGCUCAACCUGGGAAUUGCAUUUGUGACUGUAGAGCUAGAGUACGGUAGAGGGGGAUGGAAUUCCGCGUGUAAGCAGUGAAAUGCGUAGAUAUGCGGAGGAACACCGAUGGCGAAGGCAAUCCCCUGGACCUGUACUGACGCUCAUGCACGAAGCGUGGGGAGCAAACAGGAUUAGAUACCCUGGUAGUCCACGCCCUAAACGAUGUCAACUGGUUGUUGGGUCUUCACUGCUCAGUAACGAAGCUAACGCGUGAAGUUGACCGCCUGGGGGUAAGGUACGGCCGCGAGUAGUUAACGUUACGAAGUUAGAGUUGACGGCGNGAGACGNGCGAGGACGACGACGAGGGAGGAGG